This is a long non-coding RNA of Zingiber officinale, 1266 nucleotides long. RefSeq lists it as uncharacterized. The transcript has 4 exons. Lineage: Eukaryota; Viridiplantae; Streptophyta; Magnoliopsida; Zingiberales; Zingiberaceae. The record is from RefSeq and is a predicted model, not a curated record.
UCUCAAAUCGCUCCUAACCUAAUUCCUUCUCGUACCCGAGCCUCCUCACUCGAGCAAGUCGCGCACCUUGCAUGGUGGUGAGGAUGCCUGGGCCAUGGCGACAAGGACACCCACGGCAGUAAGGACGUUGGCGGCCGCUUCAAAGCCGCCAUUGGUAAGCCUCCAGUGCUCAACAUCCUCAUCUUGGCCAAGAUCGAAAGCGACCAAAUCAAGGUUUUUUCUUUCCCCAAAUUGCAUUACAGAAUCUAAGUUUUUAAAUCCACCCAUGCGCUACCACCAUCCAUGACCUCCUCUGGAACCACAGCCUCCCCAACAAGUUAUCCCCAAGUCUGUCAAGUGUUUAUCCUACGAUGAUGCCUCCGAUCUUCUCGAGGUCCGACUCUAAGGCCCCUGCUAUGUGCACUACGAAGAUGGGCUCACCUACUUCGACAGCGAGGUGAGGGGGAACCUCAGCUACGGCACGCUCCGUAGGGUGGUUGGGUGGGCAUAGGAGGAGCUGUUCCUUAAAUUCCCUAUCAAGGGGAUCAUGGUCACCGAUCCCACCUCUGGCAUGAUCCACUUUGACAUCGGCAUCGCCCGCAAGCGCCUUGCUGCCUCUGCCUUCGACAUGCCGCCGGAAUGCCGCCCGGAAGUGGAAGAAGCGACCGUCAGAAUAGUUCCUUUGCAGAGUCAUUGCAAAUAGUUGGUGGAUUUCUUCAUCAGAGUUGAUCAUCAUAAAAAAAAUAAUUCAUAAAAUUGCCAAUGGUUGCCUUACUCAAGUUGAGGUUAAGAUCCAAGGUUUUGUUCUUAUUGCAAAGGGUUUAUUUGCAUCUUUCAAGGAUGAGGCUAUCUCUUCAUUCUCUCUGAUCACCAAAAGAAGGAACAAAAUAGAGAAAAACAAAAUUUUGAUGACUACUCUACUCAUUCUUCAUUCAAUCUUCAAUCUUGAUGUGAUGUGGUGGGUGGAAAAUUUGCUAGAGGGUUACAAUCUACAGUGAUGAGAUGUGAUGAGUGAUUCAUGUAAGGGGAGGGUGUAUGAAGUUCAACACGAUUGACACUUUGGAAGAUCAAACCACUAAAGUUUCAACAAAUUUGCUCUAAUAAGAAGAAUAAAGAAUUAUCACAAAAAGUUGAAGACAUGCAGCUACUAGCAAGAGGAUGGAGGAAGAAAUUACUAAAAGGAAAAAAAAAUUGGAAUUGUAAUGUGUGAUUGCUUUUAUCUUAAAACUAUGUGAAUAUUUAUUUAUCUCAAUGUUAAUCAUAUUGUACUUUUGGAUUUAGAAAUUA